UUGUAACUGCCACCGGGUAGUGAAUGCGAUUGCAUUCGUUUUCACAUCGUUAGGUCUUAGAAGAUGUGAAUGCGGGUGCUAUUUUUUU
This 88-nucleotide non-coding RNA is filed under the name unclassified sequences. The record is from RNAcentral.